This 2903-nucleotide ribosomal RNA is filed under the name Escherichia coli. RNAcentral describes it as "23S ribosomal RNA". It matches the Rfam family "Bacterial large subunit ribosomal RNA". The record is from RNAcentral. Lineage: Bacteria; Pseudomonadati; Pseudomonadota; Gammaproteobacteria; Enterobacterales; Enterobacteriaceae.
GGUUAAGCGACUAAGCGUACACGGUGGAUGCCCUGGCAGUCAGAGGCGAUGAAGGACGUGCUAAUCUGCGAUAAGCGUCGGUAAGGUGAUAUGAACCGUUAUAACCGGCGAUUUCCGAAUGGGGAAACCCAGUGUGAUUCGUCACACUAUCAUUAACUGAAUCCAUAGGUUAAUGAGGCGAACCGGGGGAACUGAAACAUCUAAGUACCCCGAGGAAAAGAAAUCAACCGAGAUUCCCCCAGUAGCGGCGAGCGAACGGGGAGGAGCCCAGAGCCUGAAUGUGUGUGUGUGUUAGUGGAAGCGUCUGGAAAGGCGUGCGAUACAGGGUGACAGCCCCGUACACAAAAAUGCACAUGCUGUGAGCUCGAUGAGUAGGGCGGGACACGUGGUAUCCUGUCUGAAUAUGGGGACCAUCCUCCAAGGCUAAAUACUCCUGACUGACCGAUAGUGAACCAGUACCGUGAGGGAAAGGCGAAAAGAACCCCGGCGAGGGGAGUGAAAAAGAACCUGAAACCGUGUACGUACAAGCAGUGGGAGCCUCUUUAUGGGGUGACUGCGUACCUUUUGUAUAAUGGGUCAGCGACUUAUAUUCUGUAGCAAGGUUAACCGAAUAGGGGAGCCGAAGGGAAACCGAGUCUUAACUGGGCGUUAAGUUGCAGGGUAUAGACCCGAAACCCGGUGAUCUAGCCAUGGGCAGGUUGAAGGUUGGGUAACACUAACUGGAGGACCGAACCGACUAAUGUUGAAAAAUUAGCGGAUGACUUGUGGCUGGGGGUGAAAGGCCAAUCAAACCGGGAGAUAGCUGGUUCUCCCCGAAAGCUAUUUAGGUAGCGCCUCGUGAAUUCAUCUCCGGGGGUAGAGCACUGUUUCGGCAAGGGGGUCAUCCCGACUUACCAACCCGAUGCAAACUGCGAAUACCGGAGAAUGUUAUCACGGGAGACACACGGCGGGUGCUAACGUCCGUCGUGAAGAGGGAAACAACCCAGACCGCCAGCUAAGGUCCCAAAGUCAUGGUUAAGUGGGAAACGAUGUGGGAAGGCCCAGACAGCCAGGAUGUUGGCUUAGAAGCAGCCAUCAUUUAAAGAAAGCGUAAUAGCUCACUGGUCGAGUCGGCCUGCGCGGAAGAUGUAACGGGGCUAAACCAUGCACCGAAGCUGCGGCAGCGACGCUUAUGCGUUGUUGGGUAGGGGAGCGUUCUGUAAGCCUGUGAAGGUGUGCUGUGAGGCAUGCUGGAGGUAUCAGAAGUGCGAAUGCUGACAUAAGUAACGAUAAAGCGGGUGAAAAGCCCGCUCGCCGGAAGACCAAGGGUUCCUGUCCAACGUUAAUCGGGGCAGGGUGAGUCGACCCCUAAGGCGAGGCCGAAAGGCGUAGUCGAUGGGAAACAGGUUAAUAUUCCUGUACUUGGUGUUACUGCGAAGGGGGGACGGAGAAGGCUAUGUUGGCCGGGCGACGGUUGUCCCGGUUUAAGCGUGUAGGCUGAUUUUCCAGGCAAAUCCGGAAAAUCAAGGCUGAGGCGUGAUGACGAGGCACUACGGUGCUGAAGCAACAAAUGCCCUGCUUCCAGGAAAAGCCUCUAAGCAUCAGGUAACAUCAAAUCGUACCCCAAACCGACACAGGUGGUCAGGUAGAGAAUACCAAGGCGCUUGAGAGAACUCGGGUGAAGGAACUAGGCAAAAUGGUGCCGUAACUUCGGGAGAAGGCACGCUGAUAUGUAGGUGAAGUCCCUUGCGGAUGGAGCUGAAAUCAGUCGAAGAUACCAGCUGGCUGCAACUGUUUAUUAAAAACACAGCACUGUGCAAACACGAAAGUGGACGUAUACGGUGUGACGCCUGCCCGGUGCCGGAAGGUUAAUUGAUGGGGUUAGCGGUAACGCGAAGCUCUUGAUCGAAGCCCCGGUAAACGGCGGCCGUAACUAUAACGGUCCUAAGGUAGCGAAAUUCCUUGUCGGGUAAGUUCCGACCUGCACGAAUGGCGUAAUGAUGGCCAGGCUGUCUCCACCCGAGACUCAGUGAAAUUGAACUCGCUGUGAAGAUGCAGUGUACCCGCGGCAAGACGGAAAGACCCCGUGAACCUUUACUAUAGCUUGACACUGAACAUUGAGCCUUGAUGUGUAGGAUAGGUGGGAGGCUUUGAAGUGUGGACGCCAGUCUGCAUGGAGCCGACCUUGAAAUACCACCCUUUAAUGUUUGAUGUUCUAACGUUGGCCCCUGAUCGGGGUUGCGGACAGUGUCUGGUGGGUAGUUUGACUGGGGCGGUCUCCUCCUAAAGAGUAACGGAGGAGCACGAAGGUUGGCUAAUCCUGGUCGGACAUCAGGAGGUUAGUGCAAUGGCAUAAGCCAGCUUGACUGCGAGCGUGACGGCGCGAGCAGGUGCGAAAGCAGGUCAUAGUGAUCCGGUGGUUCUGAAUGGAAGGGCCAUCGCUCAACGGAUAAAAGGUACUCCGGGGAUAACAGGCUGAUACCGCCCAAGAGUUCAUAUCGACGGCGGUGUUUGGCACCUCGAUGUCGGCUCAUCACAUCCUGGGGCUGAAGUAGGUCCCAAGGGUAUGGCUGUUCGCCAUUUAAAGUGGUACGCGAGCUGGGUUUAGAACGUCGUGAGACAGUUCGGUCCCUAUCUGCCGUGGGCGCUGGAGAACUGAGGGGGGCUGCUCCUAGUACGAGAGGACCGGAGUGGACGCAUCACUGGUGUUCGGGUUGUCAUGCCAAUGGCACUGCCCGGUAGCUAAAUGCGGAAGAGAUAAGUGCUGAAAGCAUCUAAGCACGAAACUUGCCCCGAGAUGAGUUCUCCCUGACUCCUUGAGAGUCCUGAAGGAACGUUGAAGACGACGACGUUGAUAGGCCGGGUGUGUAAGCGCAGCGAUGCGUUGAGCUAACCGGUACUAAUGAACCGUGAGGCUUAACCUU